CCUACGGGAGGCAGCAGUGGGGAAUAUUGCACAAUGGGGGAAACCCUGAUGCAGCGACGCCGCGUGAGUGAAGAAGUAUUUCGGUACGUAAAGCUCUAUCAGCAGGGAAGAAAAUGACGGUACCUGACUAAGAAGCCCCGGCUAACUACGUGCCAGCAGCCGCGGUAAUACGUAGGGGGCAAGCGUUAUCCGGAUUUACUGGGUGUAAAGGGAGCGUAGACGGCAGCGCAAGUCUGGAGUGAAAUCCCAUGGCUUAACCAUGGAACUGCUUUGGAAACUGUGCAGCUAGAGUGCAGGAGAGGUAAGCGGAAUUCCUAGUGUAGCGGUGAAAUGCGUAGAUAUUAGGAGGAACAGCAGUGGCGAAGGCGGCUUACUGGACUGUAACUGACGUUGAGGCUCGAAAGCGUGGGGAGCAAACAGGAUUAGAUACCCCGGUAGU
Molecule: ribosomal RNA, 439 nt
Filed under: uncultured bacterium
Lineage: Bacteria
Description: partial 16S ribosomal RNA
Rfam family: Bacterial small subunit ribosomal RNA
Source: RNAcentral